This 411-nucleotide ribosomal RNA is filed under the name Cryptosporidium parvum. RNAcentral's name for it is "SSU rRNA". It matches the Rfam family "Eukaryotic small subunit ribosomal RNA", at positions 438 to 877 of the family's 1831-position model. The record is from RNAcentral. Lineage: Eukaryota; Apicomplexa; Conoidasida; Eucoccidiorida; Cryptosporidiidae.
AAAUUACCCAAUCCUAAUACAGGGAGGUAGUGACAAGAAAUAACAAUACAGGACUUUUUGGUUUUGUAAUUGGAAUGAGUUAAGUAUAAACCCCUUUACAAGUAUCAAUUGGAGGGCAAGUCUGGUGCCAGCAGCCGCGGUAAUUCCAGCUCCAAUAGCGUAUAUUAAAGUUGUUGCAGUUAAAAAGCUCGUAGUUGGAUUUCUGUUAAUAAUUUAUAUAAAAUAUUUUGAUGAAUAUUUAUAUAAUAUUAACAUAAUUCAUAUUACUAUAUAUUUUAGUAUAUGAAAUUUUACUUUGAGAAAAUUAGAGUGCUUAAAGCAGGCAUAUGCCUUGAAUCCUCCAGCAUGGAAUAAUAUUAAAGAUUUUUAUCUUUCUUAUUGGUUCUAAGAUAAGAAUAAUGAUUAAUAGGG